Spodoptera frugiperda (fall armyworm) is the source of this 11335-nucleotide RNA transcript. RefSeq lists it as uncharacterized. Lineage: Eukaryota; Metazoa; Arthropoda; Insecta; Lepidoptera; Noctuidae. The record is from RefSeq and is a predicted model, not a curated record. The transcript has 24 exons.
GAGAUCUAAUCGGACUUUUCGUCUAGUUAAUGGGACUUUUACUGGAGUUUAAGGGUGUGUCGAUUAGCCGGAUAACGCUAGGAUUUUCUUUUCUUUUGCUGUUUUGAAAGAGAUUAUUAUCGUUAUAAAUAUAGUCACUAGUCUUUUGUGUUGUUAGAUAUUAUUAAUGACAACAUAACGUCACGACUUUUAUUUAUUUUUUUGUAGAAGUGUGCAAUGUAUCUAAAUAUAAUUUUACAAUAGGUAUGUUAUGAAAUUAUGUAAUAAGGAAAGAGCCUAUUUGUCAAAUACCUGGUAUACCUACUACCAUAAUGAUCAACAUCAAUACCUAAAUACAUAACAGCAGGUACUUGCUUAAAACUUGUCAUAAAAAUAACGAUCGCUUUGCAAAAAACUACGCAGUAAAAUCCUCGUCGGUGUAAUUAUGAUGCUCAAGUGAAGUUAAAGGAUGUACUUAGUUGCCAAGAGGAGGUUAGUGCAGCGUGGGUGCGUUGUUGUGAAAACACUCGUUGGCUGGGGCUGGGGUAUGGAGGGAGGGGGGAAGGGCGCUCCCUAACCCACCCCAACCUUAACGAGCUCAACCCCCAUUACUAGAUCUGUUUAUUUCCGAACGCACCGAUGCCUGACACAUAAACAGAUAGCAAAUGUAAUUAAUUUCAGCGUUCAUAACUUUAAUUAAACGAUGUUGCUUUGAGCUUGGUUGAAGAUUUUUUGCGAAAAAUAUAGACAGUGUAGUAAGUAAUAUAUUUUACUGAGGCUUUGGUAGUGAAAUAAGACAGACAAUUCAAUUUUUUUGCCUACACGUAAUUAUACGUAAGAAAUUACAUAACUAUUUACAGAAACUGUAUGGUUAAUGCAUGCUUAAUUAAGGCUCUGUAAAUACAUAGUGUCUUUCCUUUGAAGCUUAUGUAAACAUUGUAAAGAAAGAAAAAUGGCUUAAUAAGAUAUUGUAGAUGUUAUAAAAAAAGAAAUCAGGAUCAGAAGUCAAACAGAGACGCAUAAAUGCGAAAAUAUUUACUUUAUUCCAAUGAAAACACGACACAAAAGGGACUUAGAAAAGUAAUUUGUUACACAAUCGAUGUCGUUAUAAUACGCUUACAUGUAUCAGGAUCAGAUGAUGUUAUAAGUUAAUAUAAAACAAACAAAAUGCGCAGUACAUCGCGCGGCGAGAGUUUCCUAGCCACCCCCGGUACCGAGCCGGUGGCGGGAAAGCGUGGAAAACGCGCGCAUGGGGUGGCGGGCCGGGCUCAUUCCGUGGUGAGGCGCCGCUCAAUCGAUACACCGCUUUUGUACGACAAAAUCAACAAUUUUACCUUUAAAAUAUCAUAAAAUUUUCCAAAUAUAUCCUUAUGUUUUUAUUUAGAAGUAUUAUUUGUAGUGCCAGUGAAUUUGUGGAGUUUUCGCGAUGUGAUACGAACCAUAAACAAAUGCGUCGCAAAACCGCUUCAGUCUAGAGAAUAACUUCACGAAAUUGGUAGGCGUCGCUAACAACGGAUUGUUUCAUCGUGUGGACCUUAUGUUAGUGAAACUGGAAUUAUAUCGAAUGUGAGGUUAGGAGUUUUGCGCGGGAAGAUUCCAAGAUGGCGACCGCAACGCAACCGUCGUGCAUGAGCACGGAACAUGGCUGCGUCAUGUUCGACUGCCUCGUGCAUCUUUGGGAAUGGCUUGAUCCACCUGCAGCUCAGUCACAAUACCAAAUGGAGAACAAAAAGAUCCCGCCGGCGACGCAGCAGCCGCUCACCCAGCAACACCUGCUGGCACAUCACGUGCACCCGGAGCAGAUCUACUCCCAGCAUCACCCUCAACUAUCCCACCUCAGUUCUUCACAAACAGGCCAAAUACAACCAAAUGGCGUCAUGCACCAGUUACUGCAGAGUCAGUAUCACUCGAACAUGAAUGCACGAUCUCCGCUCCUUGAAAACAGACACGAUUUGUAUAGUACUGGUCACAAUCACGAUUACGCCCGACAUUAUGGAGCAAAUGAUAACUAUAAUUACCCACAGUCACCACCCAGACACGAAAGGACAGAGGUGCACACAGAUCAGAAUGUUAAUCACGAGCUACUUCACAAUAUACCUAAGGGAUACAACGCAGAAGUCUACCAAGAUUAUUUAAAACGAAACCCACCGAAAGAUACCAACCAAAUAUACCAAAAUCAUCAACCUAUGUAUAGGCCUAAUGUUAAUCCUAAUCAGUAUGGAUCCAAGCCAUAUCUUCCAUAUUCAAAUAGAAUAGGUCCACAGAGUAACACAGAAUUGUUACGUAGACAGUAUAGUGAAAUUCAACAAAUGAAACUGCAGCAGCAGCUUCAUUACCAAAAUCAGGCACAAAUGCACCAACAACAGAAGUUCGCCGAAAGGCAGUUGUUGCUGCAACAGAUCCAUGGCGUACAGCCACCACCUAACUUACAGAAUAGUAUUUACUCAGAUGGUUCAUACAGAGACUUGGAUCGAUACAGUAGUAAAAACGACUUCAAAGAAUAUAGUAGCCCUGAUAUACAAAAAGACAUCGAUAGCUAUGCUAAAAACAAUGAGUACAAGGAAUAUGAAAAGCAAAAUAGACAGUAUGAAGCUCAGUGGAAUCAAAACCAGCAAGCUGAGUACAGAGAGCAGGAACAACAGUACAGAAGACAGAUAGAAGCGGAGAAAGGGAAAAGUCAGUCUCCACCAUCAGAUUAUAAAAGCCAAAGUCAAAAGAACAAUAUGAGUGUCGCAUCACCGAUGAAGUCUAGCGAAUCUAGUACUCCUAGUGUGAAGUCUCCGUCCUCGGACAGUAGGCGGAGCAGUGGUGGAAACCAGGCUCUGCGAUCACCCAUAGCACACCGUAUACCAUCCGCUCCAGUCACCAUGUCGGGGAUCCUAUACAAACAAGGUUCAGAUGGAUUAAAAGUAUGGAGGAAGAGGUGGUUCGUUUUAUCGGAAUACUGCUUGUUCUACUAUAAAAGUCAAGACGAAGAGAAACUUCUUGGCUCAGUGCUCCUGCCGUCAUACAAGGUAUCGAGUUGCACCGCGGAAGACAAAGUGCUUCGGAAAUUUGCAUUCAAACUGGAGCACGCGAACAUGAGAACUUACGUCCUCGCGGCGCCUGAUCAGGAGGCCAUGAUGAAAUGGGUGAAGUCGUUGACCAUGGCCGCACUCAUGCAGAGCCCCAAUGAGCAGCCGCAAAAACAGAGCGAUCGGACAGCUGCGAAAAUCGAGGAUGUCGAUGAAAUACCAACCUACGCGAACGCUCCACCGAAGCCAAGGCGCUCUAAUGAAGGAUACAACUCACCAAGCCCUGAUAUGUACGAUCCAAACUAUGACUUACUCAAAAAGCCAGCAUCACACUACAGUCAAGGCACUAGUCACGCACGAUAUCAAGACCACGCAAAUUAUCCAGCCAGUCCAAACAACCAAGAGCCCACAUACACUCGCAGUCCGCAAUCUCCACCGCCAGUACAACAACAACCACAGUAUCAAACAAAACGACCACCUUAUGAUACGCAACAUCUCUCUCUGCCAUUAACAAACACAGUCACCGACAAACUCGAGAACAACCAACCCAGUACCUCAUCUAUGUACAAAUCUAAUCCGCAAUCGCCUUAUUUUGAUAGGAAUAGAAGCCAGCAGCAAAUGGCACAAGAAAACAGGGAACAAAAUAUAUACGAGAGGCAAUCACAACGUAAUCCUUUCCUGCAAGAUACAACUCCUCAGACGGAAACAUCUUCAAAGGAUGAACGAAAUGAACAACAGAAUAAUUCUCGGUCGAAUUUGAAGGAAGAAAGAUCUGAAUCCGUUCACAAGGACUCGUCACAAAAUGAUAGUAGAAAUAGCGCCAAAUCUAAUAUUGAUUUGAAUGCUUAUAAUAGAGACGUAUAUGGGGAGUUGACUUCUAGGCAAGUAAGAGCAGGAAGUGCUAUAAACGAACGUUUAAUGGCUGAGAGGCGGACGCCAGAUGCUUACGGUAGAUCUACAACAAUGUCUGCUUAUAACAAAGGUAAAAUGGGAGACUACGAGGAUGUAUACUCACAAUAUGUCACCGAAAAUGAAUACGGUAAAACAUAUGCUAAAUCGCCAAACCCAUCUCAAGCAGAUGCUGUGAGCACUUCCUCUAAUCAACAACAGCAAAAGUUGCCCGGCAACUAUCCCCAAGAGAAGACAUUCAGCGGACCUUCAGUACUAAGGCGAAAGAAAAUGCAAUCGAGUGGAAUUCAACCUCCAAUGCCACGUCCGCAUAGUGCAGAUUUUCUUGAAUAUGAAUCAAAAGCGGAAAUGUUGAACAGAUCCGCUCCUUCUCGCUCAGCUUAUGAUUCAUACAAGGAACCACAACGGCCUAAGUCCAGUUUGGACAUUAAUUCUUACUACGACCCCAGCUCUGAUAGGUACUAUUCUGAAGAAAGCUACGCAGAGAAAAUGCGCCAAUCUGCACAGUAUUUGCAACAAGGACUCGUUCCGAGUGUAGGUCCGAGGAAUAUGGAGAUACCCCUCGCGAAUUAUGCAAGCGGCUUAGCAAAGAAACAACUCAGCACUGCAUAUUCACAAAUGACGAAUAAUAAUUACGAAGCUGAAUUUAGCUCGAAUCGGGAUAAUGUAAGUUAUAAUUCGAAAUACGGUGAUUUAGAGGCACUAAAUUCUAAUUGGACAUUAAAGGAGAAAGAGAUACAGAAGGAAUAUCUAAAUAGAAGUGGUAGUGUUAUGAGCGAUGGUUCGAAUGUCAGUGGUUAUGUCAAAGAAGCAGCCAAAUAUGAUACUAAUGCUGAUGGAUUUAUGAGAUCUGCAAGUGCAAGGUUACCGUCGACAUCCACAGAAAAGGAAGGUGAAAAGAAAGUGCAACAGCGUGAAGAGUCAAUGAAAAGAUUAUUAGAAUGGAAGCAAAGGAUGUUGCAAUCACCGCUAACCAGAAAAAGUACUCCAGCGACAAUAUCUCUCGCGAGGUCUCUCAAUCAUAGUCGCCAGUCGCUACGAUCAGACCAAUAUAAAUCCAAAACGUACACGAACGCGUCAUACAAUAGCUAUUCUUCGGAUGAUGAAGCUUCUAUGACAAUGUCAGGCGCGCAUACGGAAUCUGGUACAAAUAAUAACUCAAAAAGUCAGCAAGCAUUGUCAAAGAAAGCUUUUCUCGGAAGUAAUACGUCAAUUGGAAGAAGCAGUCGGGACGCCAAUAUACCGGUACGAGCAGUGAGCCCAAGAGUUAGAUGGGUGGAAGACAAACAGUCUAACGACCACUACGGUUCACAGCAAAUGUCGACGUCUCAGCAAAACCUAAAUACAUUGAAUACUACAGAGGACUCCUGGGCUUCAGCCAGGUCUCCAUCUAGAGCUUCUCAGCAACCCAUCAGGGCUGUAAGUCCUCGAGUCCGCAGGAACACUGAAAAUGAUGAAAUGCAAAGGGGGAUGCAGCAGCCGAACCAAAAUGAACAGUUAGGGGAGAUUCCUACCGCCGGAGAACUCCUUGGUCGAACUCAUGAAGAAUUGGUGUUGCUCUUGAUCCAAUUACGGAGACGCCAUGCGGCUACACAUCGGGCCAUCGAGCAGUGCUGCGCUCAAAUCAGUAGUAUUGAGGAUUGUCUCAGUUCUUUGAAAGCAAUGGAACGGGAGGAAAGUCUUCAACGUCUUGAAUUCCUUAAAAAUCAACUAAUGGAGCUGGAACAUCAGUAUGAGAAAAGCAAACCUCUUGUCCAACUAGUGGAUAAUAUGGUCAAGUUGGGAUCUCUGUAUAACAGGCCUGGUUCUACCAUCGAAAGGUUGGAAAGAAACCAGAGGCUACGACAGAAAGUUCUGGCUGAACAUGCUUUGGAACAACAAAGAUGGCUCGAAAGUGUGGCUGCAGGCAAAUCCCUGGAAACAGAAGCAGCCAGAGCGAGAGUGGCCGAGCUAUGGGCAUUGGAACAAGAACUUUCUGAUGAAGCCGCCAUAUUGCAAGGCCUGAGGACUGACAAGGAUGCUAUUGAGAACUUACUUUCUGGUGUCCGUGGUAAGCUGGACAGUGUCCACAAAGGCGAGAUUAAUGUGGACGUCAAUCCUCCAGCGCCUCGAAGACCAUCAGCUCCACCCAGUCAUCAGGCAGCAGGAGGCCUCGAAGAGGAACUGGCGCGCGUGCAACAGAUGUUGGCACACAAUUCUAAGGUUUAUAAGAAAUUGGAGCAGACGGUGGCGGACAACGCUCGGUUGGAACGUGAGCUGCAGCAGUUGAGGCGCGCGCUGCAGGCGAGGCGAGCUGCUGGGCAUCAGCACCACGCAGCCAACCCUACCGCCAUGUUGGAAGAUGAAGUGUCACGCGUCCAGCAACUCGUGACAGCGCUGCAGCGUCAGCGACAGGAGCUGAGUCGUGCAGUCAGACAUCUGACCCAACAGUCACAUGCGCUGCAGAAUACUCACGAUUCUAUGCCUGGAAAACGUCGUCCCAUGUCUUCGUGGCAAGAAACCAACUUGGACACAGGUCACACGAUCGACCACGGUCACUCUGACUACGACUAUGACGUAGGACCGUUGAUGCCUCCGGGUCACUACGAUCAUUCCAAUGUUGAAACACCCCUCUAUGUGGACACUAGAGGCCCCGGUGCUGACGUCACUUCACCGCUCAACAGUGAAGAUUUACAACAUGCUGGUUUCAGCAACCUAACGAACGUAGAGAAGCAGGAGAUAAAAACGGUCCGCAUAGUCAAGCGAGAGAGUGAGCGACGCCAACGAGAUAGGGAACGUUCCCUCCAGCCCAUGUCUGAUUGGCCCACUAACAACAUCACUGCUAAUCUCGACCAAUUCCUAGAGGAAGAACUCGUACAAUCACUCAAUUACUCUCGAUCGGCUUCACUACCCCGAAACGAACAAUACGAGCAAGUAUACGGCAUGAGACGUGACAAUAACUACUUGCAGCCGAACAUGGAUCUCAGUCCCAAAUAUGUGUCGAGUCCAUCUCUUUCCAACUACGAUUACUCGCAAAAUAUGUCUUCUCUGAGUAGUAGUUACAACAAGAGCUACGACAGAUCUGGAUAUGAUCGCACAAUCUCUUUGUCAACGCAGUACUUGAACAGUCCUACGGAUAGUUCCAGGACGUUGACGAAUGAUCCUUUGUCAAAGACCAGCAGUGUGGUCAGUUUGACAAGGUCUCACAUGGAGCUCUCUCCAAUAUUCAAGAGUGAGGCCGCUAAACAAAUCAUAACGGAGAUGUCUGGUGAUGCUCCUAAGAAUGGAUCCUUACAUAGGAGACAGGUGCCGAAGGAGAAGAGAAGGCACUAUACUGCACCUCAUCAUCUUAGUGCUAAAACACUUAACGAAAUGCCCAAGGAUGCGUAUAAUCAAGACAAGAUGGGACGAUCAGUGGAUGAUGCGGAUAUGGAGCGAGCAUUGCGUGGCGCGGCGCCAGACGUGGUGAGAUCUGCACUACCACCACAAGCCCUCAGAUUGGCUGACAACACCAUCGACCAGCUUCUCGCUGCACCACAGAAAAUCCUCAUUCCGGAGAGAUAUAUUCCGGAGAAGCCCCCAGAACUGUCACCAGAGGAGCAACAAAAGAGGCAAGAGAAAGUGGAGUCGAUAAAGAAAAUGUUGACAGGCACAUCGGCUGACCCCAACAAGAGUCCGGAUGCUGACGAGAAGCGGCAACGGGAGCACUUGCUACAAAUGAACCAGAUACUCGCCAAGCAGGUCACUGAGAUGAGCAAAAUCAUCGCCGGAACCAACACCGAACAAGGACCGUCCGCAUCCAACCACUGAUUAGCCAUCUUACAUUACACACCUGCACAUUUCACAAUAUCCUCAAUCCAUGUCCAUCUAUUAAUACUGGGUACUACAGCAUUUGUCUGCAUUACUUAAUUUUUUUUUGUAUCAAACAGAUGAUGUUUUCCCAUUCCUAACAUUAAUCGCUUUAAAUCCCUCAAAAAAUAUACCUAUGUAUGUAAAUUGGCUGACUCGGACGGUUCUUAGAAGAUUCCCACUACCCCGUGUGUUGCGGCAUGGUUUCGUUUUUUGCAUUUUGUUUGAAAGCGUUAGAAGAACUGCCUCAAAAUGGUAAUGCUGACGACUUGGACGAUCGUUCACCUGACGUAGAACUGCCCAUCUACCAACAAAGAGACAAUUUCUUCACCUAGUGCUAGGUAUUUGAGAGGAUUUACAUGUUACUCGAUUAGUAAAAUAACAAACAUAGAGAACCUGCGUUCAUUGUGACGUCUUAUGAUAUUAUAUCUACCUAUUCAACUUAUCAUCCACAUAAUUGACUAGACUGGUAUUUGGCUGUCUUUGGCUUAGAAAAUCUUUGGCAAUUAGUAGGGUCUAAAAUGUAUUUACCUACAUGUAUUGUUAACCUAGUUUGAAACGUAACCAAGCUCGGCUUUAAAUAAAAGAUAAGCAGUCAAUGUAGAAUGUUCAAUUAAUAGUGUAUAAUGUACCUAAUCGGUUUUUCGUAUGUUUAUAGGUGAUUAUAAAUCAAAUAUUUAAAAUAUAUGUAGGUAUAUAGCAACGUGUAAUUGUUUCUAAUUUUGUAAUUAGUGGAAUUAUGUCGUUUUAAUCUCGAAAUAUGUACUUGUGAGAAAAUGAGAAAGGCUUCAGUUGUAACUGCUUUCAACAAUGUGUAAAAGAAAAUUGUUUUGUUUAUAGCUAACUCUUGAAUCCAAUUCCGAUCGAUCGACAUUCGUAUUGUGAAAUCUCGUACUCUUUCGUAAUUUCGUAUAGCGUGGAUAUUGAAUGAACAAAAUGGUACAGAGUUUGUUUUAUAUUCCGUACUCCGAACGCUAUUUUAACAGCUACGAUUAGGGUUAUAGGUUUGACAUUGAAAAAAAUAUUGAGAUUAUGUUGGAUUGAUAUUGAGAUUGGUUUCAAGAGUAAGCGCCCAGAUCUGUUAGAUACUUUGUGAAUCUCAAUGUUUGGUGUUUAUAGGAACUAAAUACUACAUUAGUCAAUGUGUUUGUUUGUGAUUUGACUGCAAUGUGCGUUCCACAUAUCUAUCAAAAUAUCAUAUUACUUACUUACAUAUAUAAACGUGUAAUUAAUGGCUAAGAAAUGAAUAGGAAUUGGUAUUUUUUGUAGCAUUUGCUCAAUUUUGUGAACAUUCCUUAGCGAUGUUAUUUUGUAGUGUAUGAUACAAACGACUCUGUAAAAUACGCGAAUUAUUUUGGCCAGUUAGUAAGUAAUACAUUUAAAUUCAAUACUUUAAGAGGUUAUAUUUUCUUGUGUUGCUGCUACUAAUUAAGAAUUUGAGCACAACGGUCAGCUAUAGACGACAAAUAAAAUGUACUUAAAAUAAGUUUUACGGCAGUGGUGGAUUAACCCGAUUUUGGUUUGUAGCCUAUUGCAGACUGUGGCGUUCAAAACGUUAAAGUACAAUAAAGACCUCUCAGAACCUCAGAUUGUAUUGAAUUAUAAUGUAUGUAGCUUCGAUCAAUUAAUUUUGGUAUUUAAUACAAGUCUUCUAUGUAAAAGGCCUUGAAUUGUUACUAUAGACAUAAGAUUUAGUGAAAUGUACCUAGAUGACGAUAUAAUGUUAUAGUUGCCAUGAUUUCGAAUAGAAAGUGCACAUUUAUAUUUAUAAAAAUAUAAUUAUAAUUUAACAUAACGAAUAACAAUGCGUUUUAGUAUUAUUUCGUUAAUUUUGAUUUUGUAUUUUAGUGUAAAUAUAAAUUGUACAUUUAAUUUAAUUUGUCUUGUACUUAGGUCUUGAUUUUUUUAGUUUUUUUUGUAUGUAGUCCGUUAAUUAUGUUUGUAUUUAGUAUUGUAUGAAUAAAUAUGUGAACAUCUUAUGCAACAAUAUAUCACUGAUGACAGAGCAACAUAUUUUCUUUUUUGGAAAAAAUAAUUCAUUAUUUUUAUUUAUACUUUUUUUCUAUGAAUUCUGCAAGUUAGUUUGUUUUAUUGGGGAUGAUUAAUGAAUGAUACGAGUAAAUAAUAAAUAAAUAUUAAAGUUUUAACUGAGCGUAAAGAAAAAAUGGUAAAUAGAUCUGUUUAUUUGGGUGCGAAAUCAAGUUAGUACUUAUGUGUGUAGCACUAGAUAGUACAUUAUGUACAUUAAUGUUCAUAAAUUACAUAAUGAAGCUUUAAAUAUUUCAGCCAACAUUAUUAUGUAUUUAUACUUUUAAUACUUUUUGUUGAAAAUAGCUUCUACCGAUAAUAUAACCAGUAUUAUGAAAUUAUAAAAAAAUUAAAUAGAAAAGAAUAAAAAUGCUUCUGUACAAAAUUAUUUUGUGCCAUGUUUUUGCAUUUUUUUUAUGUAAUUUGUCUAUGGCAAUGUUAGAAAAAUAUAUUAUACGUAACUGAUAAAGGCUCUUAGAGCUAUUGUGGGAAACCUUGUCCUUUCGAACCCUUUAUAUAAAUUACCUUAAUAUAUGAAAUUUCCUUCCAAAAUGUAACACGUAGUAUCAUUUAAUUUAACACUGUCAAUUAUUUACCAAAAACUAAUCCCUAAAUAACUUUACUCUCGGGAUAUUCUUCCAAAACGACCUUAGUAGUCAACAAUUUAAAUAAAAACCUUUUAUUUUGACAUACUGACUUCUUCCGAAUUAUUGUAUCGUAGGAAAUAUUUAUUAAAAUAACGAAUAGUAUUGAUAUCAAAAAAUAUACCUAGUAAAUUCCCUCUUGAAUCUUAUAAAAUACUAAACCUAUAGAUCCCAAACUUUAAUAAAAACAUGUAGAAAUUAUAUAUCGUCAAAUAUCUAACUAUAUCUUAGGCUUUUCAAGCCAUUAUAAUAUUAUACAAUUAUUAAGGGAACAUGAUCAAGUAAUUUGCUAUUCCCCAAUUAUAUAAUUAUAUAUAUAAAAAUAAAUAUAUAUCGCCUUAUAAGUAGACUGGCCGAAUAAGAAUGAUUUCUAUUUCAAAAUGUAUAUUAGAAUUAGCUGUUAAACUUGUAGCCCCUUGUAUUCAACGAAUAUUUAUGAUGGUAUACUUUACAUUGAGCUAUAUGUUUAAGCUUUUAAAUUUACUGUUUAUUGAUUCUAUAACGAAGCAAGCAGUGGACCGAGAAUUAUAGUUUAAAAUCAAUUUUCAUUUCAAAUGAUUACCACUUAUAAUUUUUGUAUAAAAUGAAUUAUAUUUUUUUAAUCAAAACUAGUUGUCUAAUAAUAAUUUACUGCUCGCGUUUUAAAAUACCUAAUUCAUUUUAUUAUAAUUCAAACAAAGUACAUUUAAAUCUAAUCUUAAAAUGUUCAUUUAAAAUGAAAAUAAACCUGCUUGCUUCGUUGCUAGCCUAACAAAAGCCCCCAAAUUAGAAGUACUAUGUUGACUGCCUUAAAAUGAGUUGUUGUGUAAAUACCUACAGGGAAUUGUGCAUAUUAUUGUUUUAAAUAAUUGACUAUCCAGUUUUACAUGAAUCCUUGUAAUUAUAGCGCGUAUGUUGUUCACAUCUGAAAAUAAAUGAUAUGCUGUAUUAAAA